UACGUAGGGGGCAAGCGUUGUCCGGAUUUAUUGGGCGUAAAGAGCGUGUAGGCGGCUUUGCAAGUCCGUUGUGAAAACUCGAGGCUCAACCUCGAGACGCCGGUGGAAACUGCAAAGCUAGAGUCCGGAAGAGGAGACUGGAAUUUACGGUGUAGCGGUGAAAUGCGUAGAUAUCGUAAGGAAGACCAGUGGCGAAGGCGGGUCUCUGGACAGUUCCUGACGCUGAGGCACGAAGGCCAGGGGAGCAAACGGG
RNAcentral lists this ribosomal RNA (253 nucleotides) under uncultured bacterium. RNAcentral's name for it is "partial 16S ribosomal RNA". It matches the Rfam family "Bacterial small subunit ribosomal RNA", at positions 524 to 776 of the family's 1533-position model. The record is from RNAcentral.